RNAcentral lists this ribosomal RNA (245 nucleotides) under uncultured Eubacteriales bacterium. Its description in RNAcentral is "uncultured Clostridiales bacterium partial 16S ribosomal RNA". It matches the Rfam family "Bacterial small subunit ribosomal RNA", at positions 524 to 769 of the family's 1533-position model. The record is from RNAcentral. Lineage: Bacteria; Bacillati; Bacillota; Clostridia; Eubacteriales.
UACGUAGGUGGCAAGCGUUCUCCGGAAUCAUUGGGCGUAAAGGGUGCGUAGGCGGCUUCUUAAGUUUGUAGUGAAAUCGUAGGGCUCAACUCUAUCUAGCUACAAAAACUGGGAGGCUGGAGUGCGGUAGAGGCUAGUGGAAUUCCUAGUGUAGCGGUAAAAUGCGUAGAUAUUAGGAGGAACACCGGUGGCGAAGGCGACUAGCUGGGCCGUAACUGACGCUGAGGCACGAAAGCGUGGGGAGC